UACGUAGGUGGCAAGCGUUGUCCGGAUUUACUGGGCGUAAAGAGCGCGCAGGCGGUCGAUUUAGUCGCGUGUGAAAGCCCCCGGCUCAACUGGGGAGGGUCACGCGAUACUGAUCGACUCGAAGGCAGGAGAGGGUAGUGGAAUUCCCGGUGUAGUGGUGAAAUGCGUAGAUAUCGGGAGGAACACCAGUGGCGAAGGCGACUCUUUGGCCUGUAACUGACGCUGAGGCGCGAAAGCGUGGGGAGCAAACAGG
This 253-nucleotide ribosomal RNA is filed under the name uncultured bacterium. RNAcentral describes it as "partial 16S ribosomal RNA". It matches the Rfam family "Bacterial small subunit ribosomal RNA", at positions 524 to 776 of the family's 1533-position model. The record is from RNAcentral.